UUCAACAGUUAUGACUUAC
This 19-nucleotide small RNA is filed under the name Arabidopsis thaliana (thale cress). Its description in RNAcentral is "ATSL118320". The record is from RNAcentral. Lineage: Eukaryota; Viridiplantae; Streptophyta; Magnoliopsida; Brassicales; Brassicaceae.